AACCUCCGCAAUGUGAGAAAUCGCGACGGGGGGAUCCCAAGUGCCAUUCUUAACGGGAUGGCUUUUCAUUAGUGUAAAGAGCUUUUGGAAUAAGAGCUGGGCAAGACCGGUGCCAGCCGCCGCGGUAACACCGGCAGCUCUAGUGGUAGCAAUUUUUAUUGGGCCUAAAGCGUCCGUAGCCGGUUUAAUAAGUCUCUGGUGAAAUCCUGUAGCUUAACUGUGGGAAUUGCUGGAGAUACUAUUAGACUUGAGACCGGGAGAGGUUAGAGGUACUCCCAGGGUAGAGGUGAAAUUCUGUAAUCCUGGGAGGACUGCCUGUUGCGAAGGCGUCUAACUGGAACGGUUCUGACGGUGAGGGACGAAAGUUAGGGGCGCGAACCGGAUUAGAUACCCGGGUAGUCCUAACUGUAACGAUGCGGACUUGGUGUUGGGGUGGCUUUGAGCUGUCUCAGUGCCGAAGGGAAGCUGUUAAGUCCGCCGCCUGGGAAGUACGGUCGCAAGACUGAAACUUAAAGGAAUU
This 520-nucleotide ribosomal RNA is filed under the name uncultured bacterium. Its description in RNAcentral is "bacterial SSU rRNA". It matches the Rfam family "Archaeal small subunit ribosomal RNA", at positions 345 to 866 of the family's 1478-position model. The record is from RNAcentral.